AUGCCUGAGAAAUCAAUUUUAUUAUCAGUUUUACUUCUCCUUAUUAUUAUGCAACAUAACUUUGGUUCAAUGGAAGCAUCAAGGCUGCUAAAUAAUAUUCAUCCACCACCAACUGUACCUCAAAGUCCACAAGCUCCUUCACUUGAUUAUUGGUAUUCCAUAAAUGAUGAUGAUAAGGGUGGUGAUGAUGCUUUCCGUCCAACAAGUCCAGGACAUAGCCCUGGUGUAGGACAUCAAACACCACCACCAUGA
This is a non-coding RNA of Vicia faba (fava bean), 252 nucleotides long. The record is from the annotation of a GenBank genome assembly. Lineage: Eukaryota; Viridiplantae; Streptophyta; Magnoliopsida; Fabales; Fabaceae.